This is a non-coding RNA of Schistosoma margrebowiei, 43 nucleotides long. Lineage: Eukaryota; Metazoa; Platyhelminthes; Trematoda; Strigeidida; Schistosomatidae. The record is from Rfam.
CUGCUGAGGAGUCCCAUACUAGGACGAAACGGCCGUCCAGUGC